UGUAGUAGGUCCCAAGGGUUGGGCUGUUCGCCCAUUAAAGUGGUACGCGAGCUGGGUUCAGAACGUCGUGAGACAGUUCGGUCCCUAUCCGUCGCAGGCGUAGGAAAUUUGAGAAGACCUGUCCUUAGUACGAGAGGACCGGGAUGGACGUACCUCUGGUGUACCAGUUGUUCUGCCAAGGGCAUGGCUGGGUAGCUAUGUACGGAAUGGAUAAGCGCUGAAAGCAUCUAAGCGCGAAGCCAACUUCAAGAUAAGAUUUCCCACCGCAAGGGUAAGACCCCAGAAAGACUAUCUGGUUGAUAGGUCGAAGGUGUAAGUGCAGCAAUGUAUUUAGCUUAUCGAUACUAAUAGGUCGAGGACUUGACCAAU
This 369-nucleotide ribosomal RNA is filed under the name Clostridioides difficile. RNAcentral's name for it is "partial 23S ribosomal RNA". It matches the Rfam family "Bacterial large subunit ribosomal RNA", at positions 2554 to 2925 of the family's 2925-position model. Lineage: Bacteria; Bacillati; Bacillota; Clostridia; Peptostreptococcales; Peptostreptococcaceae. The record is from RNAcentral.